Phyllostomus discolor (pale spear-nosed bat) is the source of this 6895-nucleotide long non-coding RNA. RefSeq lists it as uncharacterized. Lineage: Eukaryota; Metazoa; Chordata; Mammalia; Chiroptera; Phyllostomidae. The transcript is spliced from 2 exons. The record is from RefSeq and is a predicted model, not a curated record.
AACAUUUUUAUCACCUCAGAAAGACACUCCCCACCCUGUGGCAUUGCCCUUGCCCCUAAUCCUCCAUGCCCCCACUUUCCUGCCUCGGGCAGGCAGUAAUCUACUUCCUGUCUCUACAGAUUUGUCUGUUCUGGACAUUUUGUAAGAAUGGAAUGAUAAAGUAUGUGGUCUUUUGUGAACAGCUUCUUUCACUUUGCAUGGUGCUCUCAACGCUCAUCCAUGCUGUAGUACAUCUUAGAACUUUAUUCCUUUUAAUGACUGAAUACCACCACAUUUUCAUUUAUCCAUCUGUCAGUUGGUAGACAUUUGGGCUAUUUACACUUUUUGGCUUCUGUGAGUAAUGCAGCUAUGAACAUUCACAUGUGAGUUUGUGUGUGGACGUAUGUUUUCAUUUCUCUCGGGUUCACACCUAGGACUGGGAUUGCUGGGUCAUGUGGUAACUCCACGUUUAACUUUCUGAGGAACCGCCAGGGGCGCAUCUUAUGUUGCCUUUUCCCUUUUUUGUAUUCUGGAAAUUUCCUACCACUGAAAGCAGAGAAAACACUAACGAUCACCCCGUACUCAUCAACCAGGUUCAACGAUCGUCAACCUGUUGUCAGUGUUGGUUCUUCAGCCUUUCCUCCUCCACUUUGUUUCCCACUAAGAAGUUGGAAACCAGUUUAAUCACCGCACUUGGUUGAGAGGUUAACAUUUUCUUUUGCCUCAAACCUUCAGUUCCAGUCUCCUACCCCCCACAUACUCCCACAAGUGUGGGUGGAACUUGGGGAGAAUGGAGGAGUUGGGGCAGAAUCUAGAGUGGGUAAACGUGGGGUGGAAGAGGAAUAGUUCCUGAGUGAAGGGGGACUAGCCACAUAAUAUAUAAAGUGAAAGUGUGGAGCUCUUUAUUCAAAAAUUAUUAAUAAGUUUGCGAUGAUAACAGCAGAGCACAAAAGCAAAUGUUGGCCCUGGGUAACCGCACAGGUCACGUGUCCAUGAGCCAGCAGAAGGCUUCCCAAGCAGAACCGAUUCAUUGGACACAGGAAUUUAGAGCCUUUGGUGCCCAGGAGAGACACAGGCAUCCCUUACUGCUGAUCCCUGGGAGGGUUCCAAGGACAGUCGGGUCUCCCAUGGCAUGUGGGACAGGGCUCAAUCCCACUGCAUUUGAAUCUCCAGAAAUAAGAUGACCCCAGCUGACAUGUAGGCUAUAAGUCCUUGAAAAAAAUAGCCAUUUGUCUUAAGCCUUCUUCCCUAAGAGCCUACAGUUGUUUGAGUUGGCCGUACCAUCCUGCCCCGGACUCUGAGUGUACUUUCAUAUUACAGCAGAAGACCAGGCUCCAGUCCUCAGAGCAGAGGCCCACGGGUUAGCAAACCACCAGAGCAGUGGGAGGACCAGAAAUGCCCAUUCCAGGCAGGUGGCCAUGGCAGACACUGGCAACCAGUCGUGGCACCCGAUCCUUCCCGGCCCAGACAGAGCUCUAUUAUCUUUCUCAAAGAGUGGCCUCCACCAACCAACUGAACCUAUUUCCUGCUCUCACCUAGACUCUCAACCCAAGAACUCAUCUAGAGAUUCAGCCUUCAGUGGGUGUCAGGAUGGCACCCUGGAUGCACUUAUACUAACAACCUUAUUGUGAAGGGGUAUACAGCACCGCUGGGCAGAGCGGGGAGAAUGACUCACUGAGGAGAGAACAGAUAAGGAUGUAGCAGCUCCUCCCGUUUUCUGUGGGAUAUUCAAUGAAUGAGCGAAUGUUCAUUCAUUUGUCCAAUUAUUUGAGUACCUACUAUACUUAUGGGGCUGUGUACUGGGCUUGAGCAAUGUAGUAACCAACAGGACAGGUCCUCCCCAUAGAGGCAGGAGAGGCAAUCAUAAACCAAAAAUAAACAUUUUAAAUGUGAUUAAAGUACUGUAAUAACAAUUACAGAAAACUACACCAAUAAGGUCUAAAUGAAUUCUGGCAGCUUUGGGGUUUAUAGACACCCAGAGUGAAUGAAUCUUAAAGCGAAGCCCGGCUCAGCAGAGUGAAGGUAGGAGCAACACCCUCAGGAGCAGGUUCCAGAGAUAGGUGGCCCUGUCUCUGUUUUUGUUUUUGUUUUUUUUCCUGCCAGCACUUUCUCACCCACUUCCAGUAACAAACGGGAGCUGCGGUGGGAAUGUGGCUGAAGAUGGCCACUCAUGACACCCAUCCCUCAGCUACAGUAAUUGGUCCAGGUGUGGACAUGUGACCAAACACCACCACCAAUCAUGGCAGCUCACUUCUUAGCCUGGCCACAGUGAUUGGUUCAGGUGUGGUCAGGGGACCCAAGCAGGGCCAAAACAGAAUUGUCCUAACUGGAGGUGGUGGGAAGGUUGCUUUUCCACCCUCUCCUGUGUCCAGAGCUAUUGGUAGCCCAAUAUUGAGGCCAAUAAGCAGAGAAGGAGAAAUGAGAGGUGGAAGGGAGGUAGGAAGGUAGGGGAGUAGGAGAGGGACUACUGCUGUGUUCUGACCCCACUGCCUCCCAGUCCUGGGGCCCAGGAGCAGCUCUGCCUCUCCCUUUCUUCAUUGUAGCUACCUGAGUGAAUAAAUCCCCCAUUUUACCCCAGUAAGAUAAACUCUGGUUUCUGUGUGGCCAAAAUUUCCCAACUGCAGACUUGGGGACUGUUUCCCUCUUCAUGGAUUGUGUGAAACUCAGAGAGGAAGGCUGUCUCCAGAACUCAUUCUCCCCUAGGGCGCUUGCUGGACUGGAGAAUAAAAGAACCCCCAGAUGCAUCUCCAUGUGCCCCUCCCCAUUAACUUCCCACUGAAUCAGGGCUAACCCCUCCCACCCUCUUCCUGCUUGCCUCCACCUCAACUUCACCCCCAGCACACACCCACCUCUCCCACCCGGUUCUGCACCACGGACAGCGUGAAGCUUGUCCUGGCCUCUGCUCUGAAGCCUGCCACGUUAUAUUUGUAAUGAUUUGUUGAUGCCUGUUCCCCCCAUGAGCAGGAACCUUGAGCAUGGGGACCUGGGUCUUACUUAUCUUUCCACCCCCACCUGCUGGCACACAACAGGGAGGCAGCAAGCUUGGGAAGGAGGGAGGCAGGAGAGGAAGAAAGAAGGGAGGAAAGGGAACAUCUUCCCAUUUAUUCUGGUCCAACUGAUGAGUCACACAGUAGGUCAAGUUUAAUACUGGUUUUCUCUGUUCCAGUGUCCCGUUCCUGACUCCUUCCCUUCUCUAUGUUUCUUUCUUACUCUCUUGCACACCUUCCACUACCAUCAGUGCUUCUCUAUGCUCCAUCUGCUUUACUUACUAUCUCUCACUGAAAAGUCACCUCCAGGUGGGUAGCCAUCUUUGUUGUGUUCUCUGCAGUAUCCUCAGCACCUAGAACUCUGCCUGUCACCUAGUAGAUGCUCAAUAAAUAUCUUUGGGGUGCCUAUAUGAAUCCUUUGUGUUCACCAAAACCACAGUUCUACCAAGCUUGUUUCUUAGAAGACCUAGGCACUGCAUACAUUUUAUAGGUGUUGUAAAGGUCAGUGAUGAAUUCAUUUCCUGUUUCUGCAACAGAUGACAGUGACCCUUGAACAACAUGGGCUUGAACAGCAUGGGUCCACUUAUACACUUUUUCCCCAAUAAGUACCUGUAGUGUUUCGCUCUGUGGUUGGGCGUCCACAGACGCAGAGAGCUGACUCUAGGCAUGGAUCUACGUAGCUUUAUAUGCAGGACUUGAGCACCUGCAGACUUUGGUAUCCGUGGGAGGUCCUGGAACCAAUCCCCCGAGGACACCGAGGGGCAACUAAGUUUUGGGGAGUCCAAGUUAUACACGGAUUUUUGACUGAGUGGGAGGUUAUGCCCCUGACACCUACAUUGUUCGAGUGUCAACUAUACUACAAACUAAGGGGCUUAAACAACAAACACUUACUAUUUCACAGUUCUGGAGACUGGGAGUCCAAAAUCUGGCAGGCCGACGCUCCCCUCAGGGGCUUCAGGGGAAAAUCUGUUCCCCCCCUCUUCUAGCUUCUGGCGGCUCCGAUAUCCUUGUGGCCACUCUGCUCCAGUCUCUGUCCUUGUCUCUCUAUAUUUUUCUCUCCGCGUCUGUCUCUGCUUCUGUCUUAUAAAAGUGCACAUGAGGUUGCAUGUAGUGCCCUGGGUAAUUAUCCUGGAUAAUUCAGGAUAAGCAGCUCCUCUCAAGACCCUUAACUUAGUCCUAUCUUUGCCGUACAAGGCAAUGCUCGCAGGUACGGGGGACUGGGAAAUGGGCAUAUCUUCUCCCCCUGGGGACCACCAUGUAGCCCACUGCAAGUCCUUUGCACAAAGACCAGAAAAGCAAAGAUUUCCACCGCCACUCCAUUGGCCUGACAUGUAAUGUGAUGAAAAGAGUAGUAUUUUGGGGGGUUAUGUUGCUCCAGUCAGAGUGUGGAAAUGCUUUUUAAAACACCAUUUUAUGUUUUUUAAUUAUCCUAAUUUUAAAAAAAUAAUAGCAUGCUUAUGAUGAGAAAAACAGUGCAGAAGAGUAAACUGUGGGAAAUAAAGGAGCCUCUUUGCAAUUUUUCUUGAACUCCAGCUGCACUUUCUAAAAAGUAACCACUGUAGGCAAGUCUGCAUAAUCUUCAUAAAUUUUCUAAACAUAUUCACAUGCAUACACGUUAUUUCUCAUAACAGUAAGAAAAUUAGGGAGUGUUAUAAUGUAUCCUGAAGACAGGACAGCCCUCCCACCCACUUCAUUCUUUCUAGUGACUUCUAGCGAUGCGCCUACUCCCUUGUCCCUCACUGGCCGGCGUCUCACUUCAGCUCUCGAUUUUGCCGUUAUACCAUAUAUGCUCUUGGGCAUGUGUCCGAAAGUAUUCAUAGGGUACACUGUGAGAAGUGGAACCUCUCAAUCAGAGGAUAUGUGCGUUUUUAAUUUCUACAGUUAUUGCCUAGGGCCCUUCCAAAAGGUGGUAUCGUCCCACACCCAGCAACAGUGCCCGUGUGAGGGUGCCCGUAUCCAGCCCCCUCGCACCCCCUGGCAAGGACGCAGUGUGUCAGGGGAAGCAAACCAGCCCCAAAUGAGUUGCAGAUAAACCUGCCAGGAAUUUCAGCGAAUGAAACGUGGACUGUGUAAAGGCCAGAGGACAGAAAACGCUCCACUUUUGAUGAAAGGAGGUCUGCUCGGCUUCGAAUCCUCCCUCCUGCUGGUCAGGAGACGCAAGGAUAUAUCCAGAGGAGCUGAUGAAUUGAGGGGAAAAAAACAAGGCCACUGUGAGUUGCCUUUCAAGUGCUGUGCUGAUAUAAAAACCAAACAACUUGAAACUGUUCCAAGAGGGGAUUAAAGCAACAUGUUAUUGUGAGUGAUUGCUUAAUUUAUUGAGCUGUGGCAAGAUCUGUAAUGAAACACAGCUCUUGCAACUGAUAACCUCCUGCUGCAAUUGAACUUGACAAUUAAGGAAUAUUUUCCAAGGAUUUUUCUGGAACAGCUUAGGAUUUUUCGUCUCCGUGGUGGGGUGCUUCUCAGCACUCAUUUUUGCAGGCAAGCUUUUUUAUUUUUUUAAAGAACGAAAGGCUGACAUUAAUGAGGAAAUAAGUGGCAUUUUAUUGAAUGCCUUGUGGGCCCAGGCACUUAAUAUACAUUAUUUCUAACCCUGACAACAACCCAAUGAAGUAACUCUUAUUAGUCCCUAUUUUAAAGAUACAGGGUUUCUAGGUGUUAAGUAAUUUUCCACAGUGAUGUUGUCCAAGUCAGUAGCCAUUAGCCACUUGUGGCUACUUAUGUCUAAAUUAGUUAAAAAUUGAAAAAUUCACUUCCUAGGUUGCAGUAGUGACUAGUUCAAGUGCCCACUCACUUGUGUGGCUACUGGGUACCACACUGGACAGUGCAGAUGUAGGCCAUUUGGAUGCCUGGAAAGUCCUAGUGAUCAGCAUUGUCCCAGAUUUUGUAGGUAGAAACUGGCAGUGCUAGAAUUCAAACCAGAGCCGAUGAGCUUUGAAGGCAGCACUAUUCUGUCAUUACCCCUUCUUUCUUCGCUUCCUCGGGCUGAGAGGUAAGCACUAGAGCUGUGACUGUAAACCCUGGCUGCACAUUCAAAUUACCUGAACUGCUUUAAGAAAAUAUUGAUGGAUCUCCUGGCCCUGGACAUUCUUCGGUUCGCAGACCAGCAUUCAAUCCACCAAGCCACACCAGCCAGGGCUGGAAAUUCGGACUUAGCUGUGAUUUGGGGGUGCGGAGGCAGGUGCAAGGAGUUUUUAUAAUUCCCGAUGUGGACAGCCAGGAUUGAGAGCAGCUAGAUGAGAGGGUCCACACAGUACGGUGGAAAGAAUUGGUCCAUCUGCCAUGAGGAUGCGGUCCCUUGUGGACCCAGACGUGGCCUUCCAUCAGGGCCACAUCCAAGCCUUUCAUCGGACACUCAGUUUCAUUUCUGAAGGAUAGAUUUAAAUUCUCUCUCACAGGAUUCCUGCUUGAUGGGAGGCACAGUGAGGCGCUCUGCUUUCAGAACCAGGGCUUGUCACACUGUGGUGGAGGGAGGAGAUGGGGAUGUAGGAUCAUGGAGACAAAGUGGAGCCCACAGCCCCAAAUUUGGAUUGGGAGCAUCAGGAUGAACUCAUGCUAUAAUUUGCCUUACAGAAUAAAGCAUGUGUUUCCUAGCUCCAUCCACAGAAAAAGUUAGACAUGAUUAACAGUUCGGCAGCAGUGAGCACCGCCAGCACUCAGAUUAGGGUCUCUAAACACCACUUCUAUGAGAAAUCAGGGCUCUGUGCAGAUACAGCUAAUUCCAGGUCUGAGGGAGGACAUGUGCCAGACGGGCCAAAACAUCUGUCACUCAGGUAGCAUGGAAGCUCUCAACGCUUCCUGGGUUCAUGUCAGAAAAGAUGAAGAGGACAGUGUGAUAGGACAGGUGGCCAGAGACGGGACAGUUUGAGCAUCAAGAGGAAGAAUAACUGCGCUGGACUGAAGUGUGUAUAUACGUCCAAAUCUAUGAGUGC